AUUGAACGCUGGCGGCAGGCCUAACACAUGCAAGUCGAACGGUAACAGGAAGCAGCUUGCUGCUUGCUGACGAGUGGCGGACGGGUGAGUAAUGUCUGGGAAACUGCCUGAUGGAGGGGGAUAACUACUGGAAACGGUAGCUAAUACCGCAUAACGUCGCAAGACCAAAGAGGGGGACCUUCGGGCCUCUUGCCAUCAGAUGUGCCCAGAUGGGAUUAGCUUGUUGGUGGGGUAACGGCUCACCAAGGCGACGAUCCCUAGCUGGUCUGAGAGGAUGACCAGCCACACUGGAACUGAGACACGGUCCAGACUCCUACGGGAGGCAGCAGUGGGGAAUAUUGCACAAUGGGCGCAAGCCUGAUGCAGCCAUGCCGCGUGUAAUGAAGAAGGCCUUCGGGUUGUAAAGUACUUUCAGCGGGGAGGAAGGUGUUGUGGUUAAUAACCACAGCAAUUGACGUUACCCGCAGAAGAAGCACCGGCUAACUCCGUGCCAGCAGCAGC
RNAcentral lists this ribosomal RNA (501 nucleotides) under uncultured bacterium. RNAcentral's name for it is "bacterial SSU rRNA". It matches the Rfam family "Bacterial small subunit ribosomal RNA", at positions 30 to 518 of the family's 1533-position model. The record is from RNAcentral.